GGGGCUGACCGGUUUUGACAGCGUGUAGAGGUGGUAAGUAAGCAUGCAGAGCAAUGAUGGCUACGCUCUAUAAUAUGGGACAUCAAAAUUUUAAAUGGCGAAAACAACUACGCUCUCGCUGCUUAAUCGAAGUACAGUAAAUUAAGCCUAAUCCGCGUCCCAGGGACGCAGACGAGACAUCGCCCGAGGGUUUACCCGUUCCGAGACUCCUCGAUCAGGCGGUGCAGAUAGAUCGGAAAUAGGACACCAAGUGCCUCGCGAGGCGUCCGAAAUUUUUAGAGGCUAAGGCCAAGGUUGGUCGCUUCAUGCCUGCCGUGGCCCUACAACCAAGUUGAAGCUAAGCAUGUAGAAAGCUUAUUAGUUCCACGUUUGGACGAGGGUUCGAAUCCCUCCAGCUCCACAA
RNAcentral lists this transfer-messenger RNA (403 nucleotides) under Bacteroides sp. It matches the Rfam family "transfer-messenger RNA". From Rfam's summary of the family: Bacterial tmRNA, also known as 10Sa RNA or SsrA, is named for its dual tRNA and mRNA-like properties. Its role is to liberate the mRNA from a stalled ribosome. The record is from RNAcentral. RNAcentral also lists the same sequence under 2 other names. Lineage: Bacteria; Pseudomonadati; Bacteroidota; Bacteroidia; Bacteroidales; Bacteroidaceae.